RNAcentral lists this ribosomal RNA (538 nucleotides) under Pseudomonas veronii. RNAcentral describes it as "bacterial SSU rRNA". It matches the Rfam family "Bacterial small subunit ribosomal RNA", at positions 75 to 626 of the family's 1533-position model. The record is from RNAcentral. Lineage: Bacteria; Pseudomonadati; Pseudomonadota; Gammaproteobacteria; Pseudomonadales; Pseudomonadaceae.
GGAGCUUGCUCUGUGGGAUCAGUGGCGAACGGGUGAGUAACACGUGAGCAACCUGCCCCUGACUCUGGGAUAAGCGCUGGAAACGGCGUCUAAUACUGGAUAUGUGACGUGACCGCAUGGUCUGCGUCUGGAAAGAAUUUCGGUUGGGGAUGGGCUCGCGGCCUAUCAGCUUGUUGGUGAGGUAAUGGCUCACCAAGGCGUCGACGGGUAGCCGGCCUGAGAGGGUGACCGGCCACACUGGGACUGAGACACGGCCCAGACUCCUACGGGAGGCAGCAGUGGGGAAUAUUGCACAAUGGGCGCAAGCCUGAUGCAGCAACGCCGCGUGAGGGACGACGGCCUUCGGGUUGUAAACCUCUUUUAGCAGGGAAGAAGCGAAAGUGACGGUACCUGCAGAAAAAGCGCCGGCUAACUACGUGCCAGCAGCCGCGGUAAUACGUAGGGCGCAAGCGUUAUCCGGAAUUAUUGGGCGUAAAGAGCUCGUAGGCGGUUUGUCGCGUCUGCUGUGAAAUCCGGAGGCUCAACCUCCGGCCUGCAG